Molecule: ribosomal RNA, 403 nt
Filed under: uncultured bacterium
Lineage: Bacteria
Description: partial 16S ribosomal RNA
Rfam family: Bacterial small subunit ribosomal RNA
Source: RNAcentral
AGUGAACGCUGGCGGCAGGCCUAACACAUGCAAGUCGAGCGAGCGGCGCACGGGUGAGGAAUGUAUGGGGACUGCCCGAUUGAGGGGGAUAACUAAUGGAAACGGUAGCUAAUACCGCAUACUAUCGGAUAACCAAUAUGGGAUUAGCUAGUAGGUGAGGUACUGGCGCACCUAGGCGACGAUCCCUAGCUUGUCAGAGAGGAUGAUCAGUCACACUGCGACUUAGACACGCACCAGACUCCGACGGAGGCAGCAGUGGGAAAUAUUGCACAAGGGGCGCUAGCUUUACUCACCCAUGCCGCGUAUAUGAAGAGGGCCCUAGGGUUGUAAAGUACUUUCAGUCGGGAGGCGUUACCGACAGAAGAAGCAACGGCUAACUCCGGGCCAGCAGCCGCGGUAAUUC